UGCCCCCAAAGAACAAACUCAAGCAACCUUUCGCAAGCUCAGAACCAAAGGAGAGAACCGCCUUUGUUUCGAUUGUGAUGACAAGAACGCCACCUGGGCCUCCCCAACUUAUG
RNAcentral lists this non-coding RNA (113 nucleotides) under Paramoeba aestuarina. The record is from RNAcentral. Lineage: Eukaryota; Discosea; Flabellinia; Dactylopodida; Paramoebidae.